UUAAUAUUCCUGUACUUGGUGUUACUGCGAAGGGGGGACGGAGAAGGCUAUGUUGGCCGGGCGACGGUUGUCCCGGUUUAAGCGUGUAGGCUGGUUUUCCAGGCAAAUCCGGAAAACCAAGGCUGAGGCGUGAUGACGAGGCACUACGGUGCUGAAGCGACAAAUGCCCUGCUUCCAGGAAAAGCCUCUAAGCAUCAGGUAACAUCAAAUCGUACCCCAAACCGACACAGGUGGUCAGGUAGAGAAUACCAAGGCGCUUGAGAGAACUCGGGUGAAGGAACUAGGCAAAAUGGUGCCGUAACUUCGGGAGAAGGCACGCUGAUAUGUAGGUGAAGCGACUUGCUCGUGGAGCUGAAAUCAGUCGAAGAUACCAGCUGGCUGCAACUGUUUAUUAAAAACACAGCACUGUGCAAACACGAAAGUGGACGUAUACGGUGUGACGCCUGCCCGGUGCCGGAAGGUUAAUUGAUGGGGUUAGCGGUAACGCGAAGCUCUUGAUCGAAGCCCCGGUAAACGGCGGCCGUAACUAUAACGGUCCUAAGGUAGCGAAAUUCCUUGUCGGGUAAGUUCCGACCUGCACGAAUGGCGUAAUGAUGGCCAGGCUGUCUCCACCCGAGACUCAGUGAAAUUGAACUCGCUGUGAAGAUGCAGUGUACCCGCGGCAAGACGGAAAGACCCCGUGAACCUUUACUAUAGCUUGACACUGAACAUUGAGCCUUGAUGUGUAGGAUAGGUGGGAGGCUUUGAAGUGUGGACGCCAGUCUGCAUGGAGCCGACCUUGAAAUACCACCCUUUAAUGUUUGAUGUUCUAACGUUGGCCCGUAAUCCGGGUUGCGGACAGUGUCUGGUGGGUAGUUUGACUGGGGCGGUCUCCUCCUAAAGAGUAACGGAGGAGCACGAAGGUUGGCUAAUCCUGGUCGGACAUCAGGAGGUUAGUGCAAUGGCAUAAGCCAGCUUGACUGCGAGCGUGACGGCGCGAGCAGGUGCGAAAGCAGGUCAUAGUGAUCCGGUGGUUCUGAAUGGAAGGGCCAUCGCUCAACGGAUAAAAGGUACUCCGGGGAUAACAGGCUGAUACCGCCCAAGAGUUCAUAUCGACGGCGGUGUUUGGCACCUCGAUGUCGGCUCAUCACAUCCUGGGGCUGAAGUAGGUCCCAAGGGUAUGGCUGUUCGCCAUUUAAAGUGGUACGCGAGCUGGGUUUAGAACGUCGUGAGACAGUUCGGUCCCUAUCUGCCGUGGGCGCUGGAGAACUGAGGGGGGCUGCUCCUAGUACGAGAGGACCGGAGUGGACGCAUCACUGGUGUUCGGGUUGUCAUGCCAAUGGCACUGCCCGGUAGCUAAAUGCGGAAGAGAUAAGUGCUGAAAGCAUCUAAGCACGAAACUUGCCCCGAGAUGAGUUCUCCCUGAGACUUAGAGUCUCCUGAAGGAACGUUGAAGACGACGACGUUGAUAGGCCGGGUGUGUAAGCGCAGCGAUGCGUUGAGCUAACCGGUACUAAUGAACCGUGAGGCUUAACCUUACAACGCCGAAG
Molecule: ribosomal RNA, 1529 nt
Filed under: Escherichia coli
Lineage: Bacteria; Pseudomonadati; Pseudomonadota; Gammaproteobacteria; Enterobacterales; Enterobacteriaceae
Description: partial 23S ribosomal RNA
Rfam family: Bacterial large subunit ribosomal RNA
Source: RNAcentral